RNAcentral lists this ribosomal RNA (301 nucleotides) under uncultured bacterium. RNAcentral describes it as "partial 16S ribosomal RNA". It matches the Rfam family "Bacterial small subunit ribosomal RNA", at positions 509 to 807 of the family's 1533-position model. The record is from RNAcentral.
CAGUCGCCGCGGGAAUACAGAGGGUGCAAGCGUUAAUCGGAUUUACUGGGCGUAAAGGGCGCGUAGGUGGUUAUGUAAGUGAGAUGUGAAAUCCCCGGGCUCAACCUGGGAACUGCAUCUUAUACUGCGUAGCUGGAGUGCAGUAGAGGGUAGUGGAAUUUCCGGUGUAGCGGUGAAAUGCGUAGAUAUCGGAAGGAACACCAGUGGCGAAGGCGGCUACCUGGACUGACACUGACACUGAGGCGCGAAAGCGUGGGGAGCAAACAGGAUUAGAUACCCCCGUAGUCCCUGUCUCUUAUAC